UGGCGUUUUAUCUGAGAAGCUCGAAAGGAGUAUGGAUAAGAGAGACGGUCAGACCAUUACAGGAUUGAUUAAUGGAUUAAAUCUGGAACGGGUCGAUGUCUUUCAGCUGCAGCAUAUUGUGCAUCAAGACACUGAAGUACAGCCAGAACACUCACUGGAGGAAAAGAAGCAUCAGCCCCAUGCCAGUGCACUGUUAUGUAAUGUUGUCAUUAACAUGCAGGUGUGGACACUAUAAAAGCAGCCUUCUGUACAGUGAACUACAAACAGAGCAAGAUAUCAGCAGUGAUGCUUUAAAACAAUCAUCAAGAGAGCAGUCUCAUUAGGAGGUUCAUUUAGAGGCUGUUUCAGAACUUUCAAUCACAUCACUUUAAAAAAACACGGCCGUGUAAAAGGCCAUGAGGAGAAGAACGGCUGUGUCUCUGCAGGACGAGAUGUGAUCAGACUAAACUCAAGUUACUGCUCGUGAAUCAACGAGCUGUCAAAGUCGUUCCAUGUUUGUUUUUCUUUAGCCACCCCGAUGGUAAUAUUUCUGUAUUCUCAGCAACCGUGACCUUUACUUUUAGCAGCAAGAGACAAGAAAAUCUGUAACAGGAACACGUGAGUAAGCGAAACAGAAAGUUAUUCCAGUCUCUGAUAUAGUGACCUGAAAAGGGUUCAUCUAACAGUCAAGAUCAUUGCUUACUUUUGGCUACCCCAGUUAUCUUAGUGAGUAUCUAAUUCAAGUCACUGGAGCUGACAGUGUUUAACCCUCCACCUGUGUUAGCUUUUACUGCACACCCACCAUGUUAAGGGUCAGUUUUGACCCGUGUCUUAAAUCAGCUGUAAAUUACACUAAAAACAAUUCUCUAUCAUCCAAUUUGGUUCUCAUUACUAAGUUACCUUGUUAGGCUUCAUUAUCCAUGAAAAUAUUGAUUACAAUAUUUUUUGUUGUGGGCCUCUCUUUGUCAAUAUACCCCUCAUACAGACAUUCAUUCAUUCAUUUUCCACCGCUUAUUCCCAUUGGGGUUGUGGGGGGGCUGGAGCCUAUCCCAAUAUCUUCAGGUGAAGGCAGAGGACACCCUGGACAAGUCACCAGCUCAUCACAGGGCCAACAUAUAGAGACGAACAACCAUCCACACUCACAUUCACACCUAUGGCCAAUUACUUUAACCCCACUUCUGCAUGUUUUUGGGAUGUGGGAGGAAAUCUGAGUAAACCCACGCUGACACAGGAAGAACAUGCAAACUCUACACAGAAACGCCCUGGCCCGGAUUUGAACCCAGGACCUUCUUGCUGUGAGGCGACAGUGCUAACCACUACACCACUGUGCUGCCCCUCAUACAGACAUCUAUAGUGAAGUGAUCUCACAUGUCUGGACAUGUCCAAUGUUGUUUUUUGUGCAGAGAAAAACAUGUGUGGUGCCUUACAGUAUGAUUUCACUUUUUGCUCAAAUUAUUAGAUAUUGAUCUAACCGGGUCAUUCUCUUUGAUGGUCUUUUUUUAUAGAGUUAUCCAAAUUAGUUGAAGUCUUUUCUUCAUAAUCAGCUAAACAGUCAAUUUAAAUGCUUUAGGGUUAGGGAGCUGCGGUCAAUUCCUUCUUAAAAAUCUGACAACGUUGGCACCAGCUGAAGAGUCUGUGUUGAGCUUUGUUUGAAGUUAAAACUGAGGAGCCGAACUUCAGGGGUGAAGAUUAGCCACAUCCAGUGUUUGCAGCUGCAGCAGAGCGUGGCCUUCAGCUUCAACAAUACUCUUAUUUUCCAGAGCGUAGCAGAUCUGAAAGCAAAACUCUGAGAUGCUGAAACUACCAGCCAAAACUCUGGGAGUUUUUCUUGAAUAUCAAUAUAUAUUUAAAGCAAUCACACAGCACUCAGGGAAUCAGCGCAGAGAGCAGGAGAGAUGAGGAGGACUGCGGGUUUUACAUGUUUUUCUCCUCAUGAUUGAGGUUGAUGGAGGAUCCCUCUACCAUAAGAAAAGGGCCCCCCGUGUGACUCCUUAUAGAAAAAGGCCGCCAGAUGUGGUGGGUCACAGCUGUGAUUGUGCGUCAUUGAUAAUUGUCAGCGGUCUCAUAAGAGUGGUUCCCUGUGGGGUAUUUCUACCAGUCUUACUUUCAGAGCGUAUGCUAACCACAGGGAUUGACUGGACUGAGGACAGCUAAUGACUAACCUUGAUGGAAUCUAGGUGGGCUGAAUGUUGAAGAGUAUUGGACAUUUCUACAAUGAAAUCAGCUGGUUCCUGAAAAGACUCAAAGUGUUCACAAAUGAACGCGUCAAUAUCAAGACUACUUAUUAGACACGGGAGGGAACAUUUGAAAGGGCGAUGAAAAGGUAAUUUCUCUGUGAACAGAAAUUAGAUUGUGGAAAUACUUUGAAUAGCUUUAUGUCAUGUUUUCUGAGAAAUUCUAUUCAAAUGUAUAACACUGAAAAAAACAUCUGACCCAAGAGAAUGAACCUUUAUGAAUCAGCUUGUCCUCGACUUUUCCUUUUACCCCAGAAGCAGGUCAACGUUUUCUCUUUUUCUUUAAAAUAUAUUUAAUUAUUUACAAAACUGAUUGGAUCAAGAACCGUGAUCUCCAAAUGGUGUACCUCAGUGAUGUGUCUGAAUCUUUUUAGGAUACUUCAGCUUUUCUAUCUGAAACAAUCACCAGGUCAGCGGUUCGUAAGCUGUCAAGUCUUUUGAUUUAUGGAUUUAUGACCAAAUUAUAAUUGAGAGCAUGCUUAAGAAUUUGUUUUUGUCGAAAAAAUGCAAAGCUGAGCAAGAAGAGUUCCAGUUUUUAAUGGAAAAAAAACACAAAAGACAAAAUACCUGCUGUAUUUAUGUGCUAUUUAGCCAGUGUAAUUGUGCCAGCAGUAUUCAGACAAAAGACAGCUGACGUGCUGAAUAACAAAACUGCAAGCAUGUAAGCAAACUGAAAUUAGCAUGAGGUUCAGAUGACCUCUUUUUGAGUCAAAGUUAAGCCCGACAGCUGCUCAAAAUCCUGCUGAAUCUUCAUAUAAGCAGCUCAUGCAUGUCCUUUUAUUCCAGGAUUGGUUGUUAUUGUAUAAAGGUGCCAUCUAUCAGUGUAACAGAGUCACUAUAGCAGAGGGUUUGCAACAUCCUGGAGGAUCUUGAUUAGAAAAAAGACGUCCAUAAUAUAAAACACAAGCUGAAGUCCAAUCCAAACAUGUUGAAAACAAAAUAAUUAGCUGCAAAAAGCCAGAAAAACAAAAAGACAAAAUGGGACUUUUAGAAGAAACGGCUUUAUUAUUGACAAGGCUGAGAAGACCACACGCUGAACAUGUACUAUAUGUUAUUAGACUAAGAUUAACCCUGGAACACUUUCGCUGAAAUUAGUAACACGAUCACGAUUGGCGGGUGAUUUUUACCUGAAAUAAUAUACCCAAGAAAAAGAACUUGUUAUCAAAGUAUAUAAAAACAGGACAAUACAUGAUAAAUUAAAGUAGUUUUCUUUUAUUUUUAACUGUGCAAUGUCCAAAAGGAGGGGGAAAAAGUGCCAUGAGGGGACCAUAAAAAAUGCAACUAAAUAAUUGAAAUUAGGCAUUCAUGAACAAAAAAUCUCUAAAAUAUAUAUGUCUAUAUAAACUAUAAACUUAGUUUCUUUUCCACCCAUUCCUGGGACAUGUGAGUCUUCCCUGGUGAAGACUCAGGGUCCUUGGCACAAUAACAGCUGCAGGAGAGAGAACCAAAAUAUGGCAGAUUUUGAGUGAGUAAAAAUGACCAGCUGUCAAAUAUUUCUUAUCACCACAUGAAUUCCCUUGAAAAUCACUACUUUGUGAUAGUUAUUCAUAACCAUUGCGCUAAAUAAAGAUAGCAUGCAAAUUCCAGGACCACUCUUACUGACCUUAUUCCACCUGAACACGUGUCUGUAGGAAAAAGCAGGUUUUGGAUCAGGGAAACAAAUAUGCCUUCAAAGAUGUCAAAGGCGAUGCUGAAGCUACCCAUGAUACUCAGACAAACACAACAUAAUGAAAAUCAUGUUUGGUUGGGUGAAAAUCACCCGGCGAUAGUGUUCUAGGGUUAAACACAACCAGAGCAGAGUGUGUCUGAAGAUCAUGUCCUCAUGUCCACUGUGGCGAAAUGAAACUUUACCAACAUGUUGGUAAAAUCUGCUCAACUUUAUUAGAGGAAUAGUUUCUGAUGGACAGAGAGUACUUUGAGGGAGCAGCUUGUGCUGACACGAGGGGGAAACCAAGUCUACACCUCCACUGUUUCCAAAGAACUAAUUGUUUUUGGACGUACUCUUCUCGCUGUAAUCAGUUUGCUAAAUGAGUCAUUUCCCCUUUUAAUUAAUGCCAGGCUCCCUGUAAAUAAUUUCUGCCUCUGCUGUAAUUCUCUUGUGGCCAAAAGACCUUGUAUGUACAGAACACAAAGGACCCGAACCACUUUAUCAACCCUUGAUAGUCACCAUGGCAACACUGCCAACAUCCAGGCGGCUCAUGAUGUGGACGAUUAGCAGCAAGGAGUCCCAGACAGAUCUGUGGAAUUAGAUAGACUGAACUGAGGGUUAAACCAAACAUGGAAGUCUGAAUACUUAUGCAGCACCGUCCAGUGUUCAAGGCUGCAAAAUAUACACAACUCACACUCUCCUGUGGUGUAAAUCAGGAGCAAUUGAUUUUCCUGCAUGUUUAUCAUUUGUUCUGUAACCCUGCUGCAUAAGGUUGAGAUUCCUCAGAAAGGAGUGUAUAAUAUUACAGUGACUAUCUGCAAACAGCAUGCUGAUAUCUUUGCAGUAUGUGCUGAAAUCCUGCACAAAAAGGUUCAUUUUACCCCCCAGAGGAAUAUCUACACACUGUUCCCCUGAGGUAUGAAUGCAAAUUCAGAUGAAAGUGCUAUUUCAUGCAAUUAUUGAUAGAGCACAGGUAGAGCAAGACACAUUACAGUAUUAUGCAUGACAUCCAAACAUGUAGAUUUUUAAAUGACUGCACCAAAGCAGCUGUGAAAAGAGGCUGACCUGAUAGAAAGUGAGGCUGACCAAAAUGUGUUGAAAUUUCUUGCAAGCAAAGGUUAUGAAAAUGAAUUGCCAUACAGCGUCGUUGUACCACGUCUGGUUGUCUGCAUGACCUUACUUUGUCUUUGCUCAGGUUAGUGCUGUUGCCAGGAUACUAUUUCCUAUGGCAACACUUGAGCUGACGAGGUGAGCAGCGCUGAAAGGAUCCAGAUGAACUUGCUGCUCUGUAUCCUGUGGGCCGGAAGUCCUUAUACGACCAUGGAGAAGUAUGCAGGCGCUUGCACAGAAAAUAAAAAAAAAGAAACUCAGCCCUCAAAGUUCAGUUUGACUCAUUUUUGAGUUUUUCUGAUUAUGAUAACUUCCAGAGCUAUUCAGACGUAAUUCUUGAGGCUUGAAAUAAAUUACUUCUCGACAUCCAAACAGAUAGGCAUGAGUAGCAUGAAAGCACACUCAUUUUCAAAUACAGGAAAGGCGGUCAUAUUACUCUCCUUGAAGGUAAGAGACUCUUGAAAUUUUACCUUGCAGGAUUAGGAAGUUGCUUGUGCACCAUUGCCAUGGUUGCUUAUUGUUAUAUUUAUGUGACUGAGUCAUAUUCUACCUUUCAAAACAUUAGAUUUAUGCAGCAUUACAAAUGAACCAGGAGGCGUUUGACCACUAGACUUGUGUUCUGCAUUAUACAAUUAUUUCUUCUUGCUCAUGUAGUCUCAGAUGCGUUAUGUGAGAAUGCAUCAGCAUCUGCUCUCUUCCUGAAUACCUGAGCUUUCUCUUCAACAACAUUUAUAGCUCUGCAAUAUUCAUUGUUUCUCCCUCAACUCAAUUUCCACCCUCGUUUAAAACAAAAUGAGUCUCGCUCUGGUCCAUCACAAGAGGAGAGGAAACUGUUUUACAGGAAUGCUAUAUGAAUGGUACUUUAUUUCAUACUCAUUGCAGCACACAGGUGAUGCUGCAUGAGAGCAUACUGCCACCAUUUGUUGCAAAGGUGCAACUACAAAAUGCAAAAUAAAGUAGCACAUGAUGUGGUACAUCCGACCUGGAAAAGAGAGUGACCUCUUUUACUUCUGAGAGACACUGUGCGUGUGUUCUCUCUGUGACCUUGUUUGUAAUCUGUUGCACAACUUGUACACUAAAUUCCUAAUUUCCUCAUCCAUGUGUCCUCCCUCUACACCCACAAAUCAGUUCAGAGCACAGCGGCCCAACAAGCUCACAUAAUUCUCUUUUCACAAAAACCUCCACAACAUCAAAGCAGUUCCACAGGAUGCAGCACGUCAUCGCAGCGGAAACGCGCCUACUCUUACGCAUUGACCGUCCACUCUGCUGGACUCAGACGAUGAGAGAGGGAUGUCAGGGACGGUGAGAUCAUACACUGCUGUGCAGAGGUGAGCAUUGUCUGACAGGGAGGACUCUUCAUUACUAGGACUCCAUUAUGACUCAUUUGUACGACAACACCCACAACCUCUCGUUAAGCUGCAGAACAUCCUUUUGUGCUGCUGAGUGUGUGUCAUCCAGCACUCGAGGGAUGAGCACUGGGUUUGAUCAUUUUUUUCUUAUUUGAACACCACACAGGUGUGCUGAAUUGUAGUCACAAAAAUUAAGCUUUAUUGCAAUCAAAUGACUCUUAAUAUUUUUGAGUGUUUUUAACAAAAAGGAGUUUAAAUCUGCAAUUUUUCUCGAUUUCUUACAGUCUGUUUUGUUGUCUGUUGUGAGCUCGACAUAUAUUGAAAUAAAGUAAACAGAAUUGUAAAUACACCCUGCAGAAAAGCCACAAAGUUUAUCAUGAAAAAUACUAAUUUGCCUUUUUAAUUGUGUAAAACAGUGAUAUCAACUUAUAGAAAAGUUUAAUUAUGUGACAUGCAAAUUAAGCAACACUUUAUUUUCUGGAUCCCUGCUUACUUUUUAUUCUCUGCUAAUAAGAGGAAUUUGAUUUAAGGGAUUUGCAAGUAUGAUUUAGAGUCUUAAGUCCAAAGCAAGUCAGUUUAACAUGUAAAAUAAAGCCAUUUUUGAAGGCCACCCUUUUAAAAUAUUUUACCAACUUAAAUCCCAAGACUGGUGACCAGUCGUUUCAAAUGUUGUGUAAGAUGUAAGAGUGUAAGAUCAGAUCAUUUUUAAUUGAUCGUCAGUUAGCGAAAAUAAAUUGAGAGGGAAGAAUGAUCGACAUGGUAAACUGUGUCAAAUCAUCAGAGGUGUCUUGCAGAAUUUGACACAUUUAUCUUAUCUUAUUGGAUGUUUUUAAUGAAUAUAUCUUUGACCAAUUAACCAGUUGGGUUGAUCACUAUUUCAUUUUAAUUUAAUCAUCUGGUUGUUACUGAUCCCAAAAUGUUAAGUUCACCAUUUUUUUCUGUUUACACUCAUUCUGUUGGUUUGCAGGGAUGCACAACAUCUUGAAAUAUAUACAGAUACACUAGUUAGAGACAAAACUAUGAUUGCCUUAAUGUAGUGAUCCGAAUUAAAUGAAAAAUGGCUCAUCUUACCCCACUCUCCCCUACAAUGUGAUUGAUUGAUUGAGUCUCCCCCUC
Xyrichtys novacula (pearly razorfish) is the source of this 7436-nucleotide non-coding RNA. The record is from the annotation of a GenBank genome assembly. NCBI's taxonomy places the organism in Eukaryota, Metazoa, Chordata, Actinopteri, Labriformes, Labridae.